UUGCACUUCUGGAGGAGGGCAGGAUUGAAGAUCUGCAUGCCAUCAUUCAGAUUAAUUUGACAAGAAUUGUUAAUACUCUGCAUGUUGGGACUCCAUUGAUGGAGCAGAGAAGUCCCCAAAUACCCAUGUCCAUUGUUCUCAUGAAUUCCCAGUCAGAAAUGUAUUCUUUGUAUGGUAACUCUGUGUAUGCUGCAACCAAAUAUGGUCUAAAAGGAGUUGGAGAAACUCUCAACGAUGCCUUAUAACAUUUGAAUAAGCAUAGUCUUUCAAGGGUAUGUGAAACCCCAUGUUUGAUUACUAUAGGAGCUUCUUGAUCUGCAAACUAAUCCUCAUCUAAAUGAUAUAGCAGUAUAUUUUUUUUGAUGUUCUUUUUGAACUAAUGUAUGUGCAUGAGGUUUUAGAAAAACAUCUUGGAC
Cryptomeria japonica (Japanese cedar) is the source of this 416-nucleotide long non-coding RNA. RefSeq lists it as uncharacterized. The record is from RefSeq and is a predicted model, not a curated record. The transcript is spliced from 3 exons. Lineage: Eukaryota; Viridiplantae; Streptophyta; Pinopsida; Cupressales; Cupressaceae.